RNAcentral lists this ribosomal RNA (2536 nucleotides) under Rossellomorea vietnamensis. Its description in RNAcentral is "bacterial LSU rRNA". It matches the Rfam family "Bacterial large subunit ribosomal RNA". Lineage: Bacteria; Bacillati; Bacillota; Bacilli; Caryophanales; Bacillaceae. The record is from RNAcentral.
GGUUAAGUUAUGAAGGGCGCACGGUGGAUGCCUUGGCACUAGGAGCCGACGAAGGACGGGACUAACACCGAUAUGCUUUGGGGAGCUGUAAGUGAGCUUUGAUCCAGAGAUUUCCGAAUGGGGGAACCCAUUGUUCGUAAUGGAACAAUAUCCUUACUUGAAUACAUAGAGUAUGGAAGGCAGACCCAGGGAACUGAAACAUCUAAGUACCUGGAGGAAGAGAAAGCAAUUGCGAUUCCCUGAGUAGCGGCGAGCGAAACGGGAUAUAGCCCAAACCAAGAGGCUUGCCUCUUGGGGUUGUAGGACACUCUAUACGGAGUUACAAAGGAAUGAAGUAGACGAAGAAGUCUGGAAAGGCUCGUCAAAGAAGGUAACAACCCUGUAGUUGAAACUUCAUUCCCUCUUGAGUGGAUCCUGAGUACGGCGGGACACGUGAAAUCCCGUCGGAAGCUGGGAGGACCAUCUCCCAAGGCUAAAUACUCCCUAGUGACCGAUAGUGAACCAGUACCGUGAGGGAAAGGUGAAAAGCACCCCGGAAGGGGAGUGAAAUAGAACCUGAAACCGUGUGCCUACAAGUAGUCAGAGCCCGUUAACGGGUGAUGGCGUGCCUUUUGUAGAAUGAACCGGCGAGUUACGAUCCCAUGCAAGGUUAAGUUGGUAUACGUUAAGUGGAAAAGGAUGUGGAGUUGCUUAGACAACCAGGAUGUUGGCUUAGAAGCAGCCACCAUUUAAAGAGUGCGUAAUAGCUCACUGGUCGAGUGACUCUGCGCCGAAAAUGUACCGGGGCUAAACGUAUCACCGAAGCUGUGGAUUGACACCUCWAGGUGUCAGUGGUAGGAGAGCGUUCUAAGGACUGCGAAGCUAGACCGUAAGGACUGGUGGAGUGYUUAGAAGUGAGAAUGCCGGUAUGAGUAGCGAAAGAUGGGUGAGAAUCCCAUCCACCGAAUGCCUAAGGUUUCCUGAGGAAGGCUCGUCCGCUCAGGGUUAGUCGGGACCUAAGUCGAGGCCGAUAGGCGUAGACGAUGGACAACAGGUUGAUAUUCCUGUACCACCUCUUUUCCGUUUGAGCAAUGGGGGGACGCAGGAGGAUAGGGUAAGCGCACUGCUGGAUAUGUGCGUCUAAGCAGUUAGGCUGAUGAUGAGGCAAAUCCCGUCAUCGYGAAGGCUGAGCUGUGAYAGCGAGCGAAUUAUAGUAGCGAAGUUCCUGAUUCCACACUGCCAAGAAAAGCCUCUAGCGAGGAAAAAGGUGCCCGUACCGCAAACCGACACAGGUAGGCGAGGAGAGAAUCCUAAGGUGAGCGAGAGAACUCUCGUUAAGGAACUCGGCAAAAUGACCCCGUAACUUCGGGAGAAGGGGUGCUCUGGUAGGGUGCAAGCCCGAGAGAGCCGCAGUGAAUAGGCCCAGGCGACUGUUUAGCAAAAACACAGGUCUCUGCGAAGCCGUAAGGCGAAGUAUAGGGGCUGACGCCUGCCCGGUGCUGGAAGGUUAAGAGGAGUGCUUAGCGCAAGCGAAGGUGCGAAUCGAAGCCCCAGUAAACGGCGGCCGUAACUAUAACGGUCCUAAGGUAGCGAAAUUCCUUGUCGGGUAAGUUCCGACCCGCACGAAAGGCGUAACGAUCUGGGCACUGUCUCAACGAGAGACUCGGUGAAAUUAUAGUACCUGUGAAGAUGCAGGUUACCCGCGACAGGACGGAAAGACCCCGUGGAGCUUUACUGUAGCCUGAUAUUGAAUUUUGGUACAGCUUGUACAGGAUAGGUAGGAGCCUUGGAAACCGGAGCRCWAGCUUCGGUGGAGGCAUCGGUGGGAUACUACCCUGGCUGUAUUGAAAUUCUAACCCGCGCCCCUUAUCGGGGUGGGAGACAGUGUCAGGUGGGCAGUUUGACUGGGGCGGUCGCCUCCUAAAGAGUAACGGAGGCGCCCAAAGGUUCCCUCAGAAUGGUUGGAAAUCAUUCGCAGAGUGUAAAGGCACAAGGGAGCUUGACUGCGAGACCUACAAGUCGAGCAGGGACGAAAGUCGGGCUUAGUGAUCCGGUGGUUCCGCAUGGAAGGGCCAUCGCUCAACGGAUAAAAGCUACCCCGGGGAUAACAGGCUUAUCUCCCCCAAGAGUCCACAUCGACGGGGAGGUUUGGCACCUCGAUGUCGGCUCAUCGCAUCCUGGGGCUGUAGUCGGUCCCAAGGGUUGGGCUGUUCGCCCAUUAAAGCGGUACGCGAGCUGGGUUCAGAACGUCGUGAGACAGUUCGGUCCCUAUCCGUCGUGGGCGCAGGAAAUUUGAGAGGAGCUGUCCUUAGUACGAGAGGACCGGGAUGGACGCACCGCUGGUGUACCAGUUGUCUUGCCAAAGGCAUCGCUGGGUAGCUAUGUGCGGAAGGGAUAAGUGCUGAAAGCAUCUAAGCAUGAAGCCCCCCUCGAGAUGAGAUUUCCCAUCACGUAAGUGAGUAAGAUCCCUAGAAGAUGACUAGGUAGAUAGGUCAGAGAUGGAAGCAUGGCGACAUGUGGAGUUGACUGAUACUAAUCGAUCGAGGACUUAACCACA